RNAcentral lists this ribosomal RNA (1536 nucleotides) under Triticum aestivum (bread wheat). Its description in RNAcentral is "partial small subunit ribosomal RNA". Lineage: Eukaryota; Viridiplantae; Streptophyta; Magnoliopsida; Poales; Poaceae. The record is from RNAcentral.
AUGAUGGCCGCCGAGUCCCCGGCGACGGUGAACCACCCCGCCGACCAACACCUCGAGACCCUCGCCCUCGAUUCUUCAUCUGCCGCAUCGGCCGCUGCUUCUACCGACCCUCUGCUCCACCCUCCUCCCUCCCCUUCGCCCCCCUCCGCUCGCGCCGCAGCCGCGAACGGCGACCCGUUCGUCGAAGAGAACGGCGAGGAUGAAUCCCCUCCGAUCCUCCCCACCCCCGACUCCCCGGUCGUUUCCCGCGAGCCGUCACCGUUGUCCUACCAGAUCACCGUUACCGACCCCAAGAAGCACGAUGAGGCCGCCACCGGAGCGGCGGGCGUCAUCCCUGGCUCCGGCAGCUACUUCUCCUACCUCGUCACCACCCGGACCGCCGACGGCAGCGAGUUCCGCGUGCGGCGGCGCUUCCGCGACGUGGUGACCCUCGCCGACCGCCUCGCGGCCACCCACCGCGGCCUCUUCGUCCCGGCGCGCCCCGACAAGAGCAUCGUGGAAGGGCAGGUCAUGCAGCGGCAUGAAUUCGUGAACCAGCGCUGCGUCGCGGUCCAGCGCUACCUCUGCCGCAUCGCCGCGCACCCCACCGUUGCCCGGAGCGAUGACUUCCGUACCUUCCUCACUGAUCCUAGCGGUAUCCCGACCUCCGAGGGCGAGUCGCCCAGGUUCAACCCCUCGAUUACUGCCGCCUCGCCGACGGCUGUUACCACACCAACGACGCCUACAAAGGGCGGGCGAGACUUUUUUGGUAUGUUCAAGGACCUGAAGCAGACGGUUGCGAAUGGGUUGAUGGCGGUGAGGCCGCCUCCAGUGGAGGAGGAGACUGACGCAAAGUUCCUCUUCCACAAGGCCAAGCUCGAGCAACUGGAGCAGCAACUCGCAGCGACAUCUCAGCAGGCAGAGGCGUUUGCUAAAGCUCAUGAGGAUUUUAGAACAACUACAGCUCACUUGGGAAUGACAUUCGUUAAGCUGGCAAAGUUUGAAAAGGACCAAUCUACAUGCAGUUCUCACAGAACUCGAGCUAUUAAUAUUAACAAUUUUGCAAAUGCUGUUGUCAAAGUCAGCAGGUCUCAGACAAAACUGGAUGCUGAAAUUGUGAAACAUCUGGACACUAUCCAUAAAUACCUGGAGACGAUGACUUCUGUUCACAAUGCAUUUACUGAUCGCUCUAAUGCUUUGCUUCAUAUCCAAAGUCUAUCAUCUGACUUAUUUGCUUUGCACAACCGGGUGGCGAAACUUGAAUCUGUGUCAUCAAGAGGAAUAGAUCAGGAGAGGACGAGGUAUCAGAAGGUUGAAGAACUGAAAGAAACAAUAAGAACAUCAGAAGACGCGAAAAGUCAUGCACGCAAAGAGUAUGAACUUAUCAAGGAAAACAACAUGAAUGAAAUUAAGAGAUUUAAUAAAGAGAUACGCCAGGAUUUGGUGGAGAUGAUGAAAGGCUUUGUAACAAGUCAGGUUGAACAGUCAGAUAAUAUUGCUAGUAUAUGGGCAAAGUUAGCAGAAGACACAAAAGGAUAUGCAGAAAGGCGCAGCUGA